This 372-nucleotide ribosomal RNA is filed under the name uncultured organism. RNAcentral's name for it is "partial 16S ribosomal RNA". It matches the Rfam family "Bacterial small subunit ribosomal RNA", at positions 527 to 896 of the family's 1533-position model. The record is from RNAcentral.
GGAGGUGGCGAGCGUUGCUCGGGAUUUACUGGGGUGUAAAGGGCACGUAGGCGGUCCUGUAAGCUCUGUCUGAAAGAUUCGCGCUCAACGCGGAUUCGUGGCAGAGAACUGCAGGACUUGAGGAUGGGAAAGGCGGGCGGAAUUCCUGGUGUAAGGGUGACAUCUGUAGAUAUCGGGAGGAACACCAGUGGCGAAGGCGGCCCGCUGGCCCAUUUCAGACGCUGAGGUGCGAAAGCUAGGGGAGCGAACAGGAUUAGAUACCCUGGUAGUCCUAGCUGUAAACGAUGGACACUAGGUGUUGGCUCCAUCAUGGAGUCAGUGCCGUAGGAAACCCGUUAAGUGUCCCACCUGAGGAGUACGGCCGCAAGGUUG